GAUGAACGCUGGCGGCGUGCCUAAUACAUGCAAGUCGAGCGAACGGACGAGAAGCUUGCUUCUCUGAUGUUAGCGGCGGACGGGUGAGUAACACGUGGAUAACCUACCUAUAAGACUGGGAUAACUUCGGGAAACCGGAGCUAAUACCGGAUAAUAUUUUGAACCGCAGGGUUCAAAAGUAAAAGACGGUCUUUCUGUCACUUAUAGAUGGAUCCGCGCUGCAUUAGCUAGUUGGUAAGGUAACGGCUUACCAAGGCAACGAUGCAUAGACGACCUGAGAGGGGGAUAGGCCACACUGGAACUGAGACACGGUCCAGACUCCUACGGGAGGCAGCAGUAGGGAAUCUUCCGCAAUGGGCGAAAGCAUGACGGAGCAACGCCGCGUGAGUGAUGAAGGUCUUCGGAUCGUAAAAAUCUGUUAUUAGGGAAGAACAUAUGUGUAAGUAAAUGUGCACAUCUUGACGGUACCUAAUCAGAAAGCAACGGCUAACUACGUG
This 497-nucleotide ribosomal RNA is filed under the name uncultured bacterium. RNAcentral describes it as "partial 16S ribosomal RNA". It matches the Rfam family "Bacterial small subunit ribosomal RNA", at positions 28 to 507 of the family's 1533-position model. The record is from RNAcentral.